CAACAAACAAAUAUGUUUUUAGAAAUAACAUAUUAUGAAGGAAACUUUUUUAUAUGUCUACUUAUUACUAAAAGUUAUUCAUAAUAAAGUGCCAGCCAUUCCAAGAUUUGUUAUUAAAAUAAAUCUAUACAACAAAGCUAUUUUCUCCCAAACUUUAAUUGUAAAAAAAAAAAUAUUAUGCAAAUGUGAAGGAUACUAUAGAUCAACUACCGUGCUUAAAUAAUCAAAGUCCCGUUUUAAGUAGAAAUUGGCGAUUAUAAUUGAAAGGCCCUUCACGGAAGACUGUUUGUGGGAGGGUUGGAAGCUCUUGAGGACGAGCACUGCUGCAAAUAGGUAAAAUGAGGUUCGGAAGCUGUGCGAGGGAGCACGUAAAUGAAUUUUUUUGAAGAAAUCAAAACUUUAAUUUGCUAUUUAAACUCUCAUAUAAUGAAUCAUCAGUAUUUAAAAAUAAACCAGUCUUUCUAUAAAUUAAGAAAAUGUGACCAAAAAGGCGUUAGUUGCUAAGGACUGAAAGCUCACUAGAUGUCAGUCAAGAGCAAGCUGCCAUGCCAAUGUGGAGGUCUGGGGUCAAAUCCACCAAACUGGAUUUCUAAAUACUGCCAUGAUGGCUGCCAUGAGCCCACGAAAUGAUCAACAAUGCUCAAUUACAAACAGUGUGAUAUGAUGGAUGAGGGUGCCAUGAGCCUGCAAAAUGACCUCCAAAGCUUCCUGAUAUGCAGAAUGACCUCCAAUCCCUUCUGUAACUGCUCUCGCCUCUCAUUACAUCUCCAUGCCCUGCUUUUGGUCUCUAAUAAAAACAAUUUGUAUUAAAGUCUAUUUUAAUUAAGAUUAAGGCUUUUAAAUUUCACUAAUUCCUUUAUAUGUGAAUAACUAUAGCAGUUUCAUAUAAAGAUCAAUAAAUCAUGAACUAAUCUAA
Molecule: long non-coding RNA, 916 nt
Organism: Eurytemora carolleeae
Lineage: Eukaryota; Metazoa; Arthropoda; Copepoda; Calanoida; Temoridae
Exons: 2
Source: RefSeq, a predicted model, not a curated record